This 483-nucleotide ribosomal RNA is filed under the name uncultured bacterium. RNAcentral describes it as "partial 16S ribosomal RNA". It matches the Rfam family "Bacterial small subunit ribosomal RNA", at positions 28 to 523 of the family's 1533-position model. The record is from RNAcentral.
GACGAACGCUGGCGGCGUGCUUAACACAUGCAAGUCGAACGAUGAAGCCCAGCUUGCUGGGUGGAAGAGUGGCGAACGGGUGAGUAACACGUGAGUAACCUGCCCCUGACUCUGGGAUAAGCGCUAGAAAUGGCGUCUAAUACUGGAUAUGACCUAUCACCGCAUGGUGUGUGGGUGGAAAGAUUUAUCGGUUGGGGAUGGACUCGCGGCCUAUCAGCUUGUUGGUGAGGUAAUGGCUCACCAAGGCGACGACGGGUAGCCGGCCUGAGAGGGUGACCGGCCACACUGGGACUGAGACACGGCCCAGACUCCUACGGGAGGCAGCAGUGGGGAAUAUUGCACAAUGGGCGCAAGCCUGAUGCAGCAACGCCGCGUGAGGGAUGACGGCCUUCGGGUUGUAAACCUCUUUUGGUGGGGAAGAAGCGAAAGUGACGGUACCUGCAGAAAAAGCACCGGCUAACUACGUGCCAGCCGCCGCGGUAA